GAUGAAGAACGUAGCGAAAUGCGAUAAGUAAUGCGAAUUGCAGAAUUUCCGUGAGUCAUCGAAUCUUUGAACGCACAUUGCGCCCGCCAGUAUUCUGGCGGGCAUGCCUGUCCGAGCGUCAUUUCAACCAUCAAGCCCCGGGCUUGUGUUGGGGACCUGCGUCCGACGCAGGCCCUGAAAACCAGUGGCGGGCUCGCUGUCCACACCGAGCGUAGUAACUAACCUCGCUAUGGAGUGGCGCGGGCGCCUGCCGUAAAACCCCCAAUUUCACAAGGUUGACCUCGGAUCAGGUAGGAAUACCCGCUGAACUUAAGCAUAUCAAUAAGCGGAGGA
Molecule: unclassified non-coding RNA, 333 nt
Filed under: soil metagenome
Description: partial contains 5.8S ribosomal RNA, internal transcribed spacer 2, and large subunit ribosomal RNA
Rfam family: 5.8S ribosomal RNA (bases 1-121)
Source: RNAcentral